AUUGAACGCUGGCGGCAGGCCUAACACAUGCGAGUCGAGCGGAUGAAGGGAGCUUGCUCCUGGAUUCAGCGGCGGACGGGUGAGUAAUGCCUAGGUAUCUGCCUGGUCGUGGGGGAUAACGUCCGGUAACGGGCGCUAAUACCGCAUACGUCCUUAGGGAGAAAGUGGGGGAUCUUCGGACCCCACGCUAUCAGAUGAGCCUAGGUCGGAUUAGCUAGUUGGUGGGGUAAAGGCCUACCAAGGCGACGAUCCGUAACUGGUCUGAGAGGAUGAUCAGUCACACUGGAACUGAGACACGGUCCAGACUCCUACGGGAGGCAGCAGUGGGGAAUAUUGGACAAUGGGCGAAAGCCUGAUCCAGCCAUGCCGCGUGUGUGAAGAAGGUCUUCGGAUUGUAAAGCACUUUAAGUUGGGAAGAAGGGCAGUAAGUUAAUACCUUGAUGUUUUGACGGUACCAAAAGAAUAAGCACCGGCUAACUACGUG
Molecule: ribosomal RNA, 484 nt
Filed under: uncultured bacterium
Lineage: Bacteria
Description: partial 16S ribosomal RNA
Rfam family: Bacterial small subunit ribosomal RNA
Source: RNAcentral